UCAGGGGCAUGGUGAGGAUGGGUUGAUGGUUGGACUUGGUGAUCUGAGAGAUCUUUUCCAAGCUUGAUGAUUCUGUGAUUCUGUGAAGAAAACCCACCUUCCUUUUCCGACAAUAAAAUAGUAAGAGAAAACCAGACCUUGGGAUGCACUGAAAGCCUGAGAUGCUGAGACCCUGAGGAAACCUGCCUUGCUUGUCCAACCCAACAAAUGCAGCCACUGAGCUUACAAGUGAAAAAGCAGCACCCACGCUUGUUCUUGUGGCUGGGGAGCACAAACAAGCCGUUAACUGAUCCCCCUCCCCGCCCCACCCCGUGCUCUGCCUUUGGGAGCUGGUGCUCAGCUGCUGCAGUGUGAAACCUCCGCAGAGCAAGAAGCAUCUGUGCAGAGCUUGGGGCUUCCUGCUGUCACCACGCUCACCCAGUGCAGGACGGGCUGGGACAGGGCUGCAAAAAGGUGGUUCUAUGCUGAAGAAUGGCUGCAGAAAGGACAGCUGAUGCUGGAGGGGUGGUUGCACGAGGAGAUCGAGGCCUGGAGACCUUCACUCUGCACAGCACCAGGGGAAACAGCAGAGUAAAUCAGGAUGCUUCCAGAUGGCAAAGGGGGAAAGGUCUCAUGGGAAGACAUCCAUCCAGCCACACACUCCAGAAAGCCACCUGCUGUUGUGCAGUACAGGAAGCCAGCACAACAUGUGUGCUCCAGGCACGCCUCACCAACAACCUGUGCUUCUCCUGAGCUCCCAUCCUUUCCUACAGAGCUUCAAUCAGCAGUAAGAUUCUUGGCCCCAUCCUCUCCCUGCUCCUUCCCUGGACCAGCAUCUCCCAGCCCAAGCAGGACUGGAAGAAGAACU
This is a long non-coding RNA of Phasianus colchicus (ring-necked pheasant), 847 nucleotides long. RefSeq lists it as uncharacterized. The record is from RefSeq and is a predicted model, not a curated record. NCBI's taxonomy places the organism in Eukaryota, Metazoa, Chordata, Aves, Galliformes, Phasianidae.